This 99-nucleotide signal recognition particle RNA is filed under the name Elusimicrobia bacterium RIFOXYB2_FULL_49_7. RNAcentral describes it as "signal recognition particle sRNA small type". It matches the Rfam family "Bacterial small signal recognition particle RNA". From Rfam's summary of the family: The signal recognition particle (SRP) is a universally conserved ribonucleoprotein involved in the co-translational targeting of proteins to membranes. Archaeal SRP consists of a 7S RNA and homologues of the eukaryotic SRP19 and SRP54 proteins. Lineage: Bacteria; Pseudomonadati; Elusimicrobiota. The record is from RNAcentral.
GGCCAGGUCUUGCGCAAUCCAGGCUUGUGAACUCCGCCAGGACCGGAAGGUAGCAACGGUAAGCGAUACCCUGGAUGUGCCGCAAUCAACCUGGCCUUA